Molecule: small RNA, 561 nt
Filed under: Pongo abelii (Sumatran orangutan)
Lineage: Eukaryota; Metazoa; Chordata; Mammalia; Primates; Hominidae
Description: processed transcript
Source: RNAcentral
CCCCAAGCGGCAGUUCGCCCCGCGGCGAUGGCGGACACGGAAUCCCGAGGGCCACCAACUGUCCCUUAGGACCGACCCGAGAUGGUUGGACAGAGAGACUCUGAAGAUGUGAGCGAAAGAGACACCGAUAAAGAGAUGGCUGCUAAGUCAGCAGUUGUUCACGACGUCACAGAUGAUGGGCAGGAGGAGACGCCCGAAAUAAUCGAACAGAUUCCUUCUUCAGAAAGCAAUUUAGAAGAGCUAACACAACCCACUGAGUCCCAGGCUAAUGAUAUUGGAUUUAAGAAGGUGUUUAAGUUUGUUGGCUUUAAAUUCACUGUGAAAAAGGAUAAGACAGAGAAGCCUGACACUGUCCAGCUACUCACUGUGAAAAAAGAUGAAGGGGAAGGAGCAGCCGGGGCUGGCGACCACCAGGACCCCAGCCUUGGGGCUGGAGAAGCAGCAUCCAAAGAAAGCGAACCCAAACAAUCUACAGAGAAACCCGAAGAGACCCUGAAGCGCGAGCAAAGCCACACGGAAAUUUCUCCCCCAGCCGAAUCUGGCCAAGCAGUGGAGGAAUGC